Molecule: ribosomal RNA, 263 nt
Filed under: uncultured Oscillospiraceae bacterium
Lineage: Bacteria; Bacillati; Bacillota; Clostridia; Eubacteriales; Oscillospiraceae
Description: partial 16S ribosomal RNA
Rfam family: Bacterial small subunit ribosomal RNA
Source: RNAcentral
UGAAACCAGAUAUGACUUAGUGGCGGACGGGUGAGUAACGCGUGAGGAACCUGCCUUUCAGAGGGGGACAACAGUUGGAAACGACUGCUAAUACCGCAUAACAUAUAGAUGUCGCAUGGCAUUUAUAUCAAAGAUUUAUCGCUUAAAGAUGGGCUCGCGUCUGAUUAGAUAGUUGGUAGGGUAACGGCCUACCAAGUCUGCGAUCAGUAGCCGGACUGAGAGGUUGAACGGCCACAUUGGAACUGAGAUACGGUCCAGACUCC